AUUGAACGCUGGCGGCAUGCCUUACACAUGCAAGUCGAACGGCAGCGGACCUUCGGGUGCCGGCGAGUGGCGAACGGGUGAGUAAUAUAUCGGAACGUACCUUUCAGUGGGGGAUAACGUAGCGAAAGUUACGCUAAUACCGCAUAUUCUGUGAGCAGGAAAGCAGGGGAGUCGCAAGACCUUGCGCUGAUUGAGCGGCCGAUAUCAGAUUAGCUAGUUGGUGAGGUAAAGGACUCACCAAGGCGACGAUCUGUAGCGGGUCGUGAGAGGAUGAUCCGCCACACUGGAACUGAGACACGGUCCAGACUCCUACGGGAGGCAGCAGUGGGGAAGUUUUGGUACAAUGGGCGCAAGCCUGAUCCAGCCAUGCCGCGUGAGUGAAGAAGGCCUCGGUUGUAAG
This 400-nucleotide ribosomal RNA is filed under the name uncultured bacterium. Its description in RNAcentral is "bacterial SSU rRNA". It matches the Rfam family "Bacterial small subunit ribosomal RNA", at positions 30 to 429 of the family's 1533-position model. The record is from RNAcentral.